Molecule: ribosomal RNA, 459 nt
Filed under: uncultured bacterium
Lineage: Bacteria
Description: partial 16S ribosomal RNA
Rfam family: Bacterial small subunit ribosomal RNA
Source: RNAcentral
CCUACGGGAGGCAGCAGUGAGGAAUAUUGGUCAAUGGCCGGAAGGCUGAACCAGCCAUGCCGCGUGAAGGGCAGGGCCCUAUGGGCGUUAAACUUCGUUUGGGCGGGAGCAAGAAUGGUCACGUGGGGCCAGACGAGAGUACCGUACGAAUAAGCAGCGGCUAACUCCGGGCCAGCAGCCGCGGUAAUACGGGGGAUGCAAGCGUUAUCCGGAUUUAUUGGGGUUAAAGGGGGCGUCGGCUGUAUGUCAAGUCAAGGGGGAAAUCCCCGCGCUCAACGUGGGAACUGCCUUUGAAACUGGCAAACUGGAGUGUGUGAGAGGAUAGUGUAAUUCCAGGUGUAGGCGUGAAAUCCGUAGAUAUCUGGAGGAACAUCAGUGGCGAAGGCGACUCUCUGUCACAUACCUGACGCUGAGGAGCGAAAGCGUGGGUAGCAAACAGGAUUAGAUACCCCUGUAGUC